GGCAAAAUGCCCCCGUAACUUCGGGAGAAGGGGGGCCCCAACCUUGAGCACCACGUGCUGGUGUGAGGGGAUCGGGGCCGCAGAGACCAGGGGGAAGCGACUGUUUAUCAAAAACACAGGUCCAUGCGAAGUCGUAAGACGAUGUAUAUGGACUGACUCCUGCCCGGUGCUGGAAGGUUAAGGGGACCUGUUAGCUUCGGCGAAGCGGAGAACUUAAGCCCCAGUAAACGGCGGUGGUAACUAUAACCAUCCUAAGGUAGCGAAAUUCCUUGUCGGGUAAGUUCCGACCUGCACGAAUGGAGUAACGACUUCCCCGCUGUCUCAACCAUGAACUCGGCGAAAUUGCAUUACGAGUAAAGAUGCUCGUUACGCGCAGAAGGACGGAAAGACCCCGUGACCUUUACUAUAGUUUGGUAUUGGUAUUCGGUGUGACUUGUGUAGGAUAGGUGGGAGACUGUGAAGCGGGCACGCCAGUGUUCGUGGAGUCGCCGUUGAAAUACCACUCUGGUCACUCUGGAUAUCUAACUUCGGCCCGUGAUCCGGGUCAGGGACAGUGCCUGAUGGGUAGUUUAACUGGGGCGGUUGCCUCCCAAAAUGUAACGGAGGCGCCCAAAGGUUCCCUCAGCCUGGUUGGCAAUCAGGUGUCGAGUGCAAGUGCACAAGGGAGCUUGACUGUGAGAGUGGCAGCUCGA
RNAcentral lists this ribosomal RNA (692 nucleotides) under Ensifer sp. NM-2. Its description in RNAcentral is "bacterial LSU rRNA". It matches the Rfam family "Bacterial large subunit ribosomal RNA", at positions 1716 to 2392 of the family's 2925-position model. The record is from RNAcentral. Lineage: Bacteria; Pseudomonadati; Pseudomonadota; Alphaproteobacteria; Hyphomicrobiales; Rhizobiaceae.